AGAGUUUGAUCCUGGCUCAGGAUUAACGCUGGCGGUGUGCAUAACACAUGCAAGUCAAACGGGUGUAGCAAUACAUCAGUGGCAAACGGGUGCGUAACACGUUGGAACCUCCCCGGAAGUUGCGGAUAACCAGUCGAAAGAUUGGAUAAUACGCAAUAGUCCCGCAAGGGUAAAGCAGCAAUGCGCUUCCGGAAGGGCCUGCGGCCUAUCAGCUAGUUGGUGAGGUAACGGCUCACCAAGGCUACGACGGGUAGCUGGAUUGAGAGAUCGAUCAGCCACAGGGGAACUGAGACACGGUCCCCACUCCUACGGGAGGCAGCAGUGAGGAAUCUUCCGCAAUGGGCGAAAGCCUGACGGAGCAACACCGCGUGGAGGAUGAAGUGGUUCGCCAUGUAAACUCCUUUUCUGAGGGAAGAAUUCUGACGGUACCUUAGGAAUAAGCACCGGCUAACUCUGUGCCAGCAGCCGCGGUAAGACAGAGGGUGCGAGCGUUAUCCGGAAUCAUUGGGCGUAAAGCGUGUGUAGGCGGAGCAUGAAGUCGGGGGUAAAAUCUCCAAGCUCAACUUGGAAUUUGUUCCCGAUACUGAUGCUCUUAGAAGUAUGCAGAGGCAUCUGGAAUUCUGUGUGUAGGGGUAAAAUCCGUAGAUACACGGAGGAACGCCAAAAGCGAAAGCAGGAUGCUGGGCAUAUCUUGACGCUGAGACACGAAAGCGUGGGGAGCAAACAGGAUUAGAUGCCCUGGUAGUCCACGCCGUAAACCAUGAGAACUCGGUGUAGGAGGAAUCGACCCCUUCUGUGCCUAAGUUAACACGUUAAGUUCUCCGCCUGGGUAGUACGGUCGCAAGACUAAAACUCAAAGGAAUAGACGGGGACCCACACAAGCGGUGGAGCAUGUGGUUCAAUUCGACGGUAAACGAGGAACCUUACCUAGGUUUGACAUCUCGGGAAUCCUGCCGAAAGGUGGGAGUGCCGUAAGGAACCCGAAGACAGGUGCUGCAUGGUUGUCGUCAGCUCGUGCCUUGAGGUGUUUGGUUCAGUCCAUAAACGAGCGCAACCCUCGUCCUGUGUUGUAUAUUUCGCAGGAGACUGCCGGCGCAAAGUCGGAGGAAGGUGAGGACGACGUCAAAUCAGCAUGGCCCUUAUACCUAGGGCUACACACGUGCUACAAUGGCCGUUACAGCAGGAAGCCAACCCGUAAGGGGGAGCAAAUCCUUAAAAGACGGUCUUAGUUCGGAUUGAGGUCUGCAACUCGACCUCAUGAAGUUGGAAUCGCUAGUAACCGCGUAUCAGCCAUGGCGCGGUGAAUAUGUUCCUGGGUCUUGUACUCACCGCCCGUCAAGCUAUGGGAGGUGGGAGCGCCUAAAGCUUUCCCGCAAGGGAGAAUCAAGGCGAUACCACUGACUGGAGCUAAGUCGUAACAAGGUAUCCGUAGGAGAACCUGCGGAUG
This 1447-nucleotide ribosomal RNA is filed under the name groundwater metagenome. Its description in RNAcentral is "bacterial SSU rRNA". It matches the Rfam family "Bacterial small subunit ribosomal RNA". The record is from RNAcentral.